RNAcentral lists this ribosomal RNA (254 nucleotides) under uncultured bacterium. RNAcentral describes it as "partial 16S ribosomal RNA". It matches the Rfam family "Bacterial small subunit ribosomal RNA", at positions 524 to 776 of the family's 1533-position model. The record is from RNAcentral.
UACGUAGGGUGCAAGCGUUUGUCCGGAAUUAUUGGGCGUAAAGAGCUCGUAGGCGGUCUGUCGCGUCGGCUGUGAAAUCCCGAGGCUCAACCUCGGGUCUGCAGUCGAUACGGGCAAACUAGAGUAUUGCAGGGGAGACUGGAAUUCCUGGUGUAGCGGUGAAAUGCGCAGAUAUCAGGAGGAACACCGGUGGCGAAGGCGGGUCUCUGGGCAAUAACUGACGCUGAGGAGCGAAAGCAUGGGGAGCGAACAGG